GCUCCCUUAGCUCAAUGGAUAGAGUGUCGGUUUCCGGAACCGCAGAUGUGCGUUCGAUUCGCACAGGGAGCA
This 72-nucleotide transfer RNA is filed under the name Candidatus Amesbacteria bacterium RIFCSPHIGHO2_01_FULL_48_32b. RNAcentral describes it as "tRNA-Arg". It matches the Rfam family "tRNA". Rfam says of the family: Transfer RNA (tRNA) molecules are approximately 80 nucleotides in length. Their secondary structure includes four short double-helical elements and three loops (D, anti-codon, and T loops). Further hydrogen bonds mediate the characteristic L-shaped molecular structure. tRNAs have two regions of fundamental functional importance: the anti-codon, which is responsible for specific mRNA codon recognition, and the 3' end, to which the tRNAs corresponding amino acid is attached (by aminoacyl-tRNA synthetases). tRNAs cope with the degeneracy of the genetic code in two manners: having more than one tRNA (with a specific anti-codon) for a particular amino acid; and 'wobble' base-pairing, i.e. permitting non-standard base-pairing at the 3rd anti-codon position. RNAcentral also lists the same sequence under 1 other name. The record is from RNAcentral. Lineage: Bacteria; Candidatus Amesiibacteriota.